RNAcentral lists this transfer RNA (73 nucleotides) under Myotis davidii. It matches the Rfam family "tRNA". From Rfam's summary of the family: Transfer RNA (tRNA) molecules are approximately 80 nucleotides in length. Their secondary structure includes four short double-helical elements and three loops (D, anti-codon, and T loops). Lineage: Eukaryota; Metazoa; Chordata; Mammalia; Chiroptera; Vespertilionidae. The record is from Rfam by way of RNAcentral.
GCCGGUUUGGCUCAGUGGGUAGAGCAUUGGUCUGCGGACCAAAGGGUCCCUGGUUCGAUUCCAGUCAAGGGCA